GAUGAACGCUGGCGGCGUGCUUAACACAUGCAAGUCGAACGGAAAGGCCUCUGCUUGCAGGGGUACUCGAGUGGCGAACGGGUGAGUAACACGUGGGUGAUCUGCCCUGCACUUCGGGAUAAGCCUGGGAAACUGGGUCUAAUACCGGAUAGGACAAUGGUUUGGAUGCUGUUGUGGAAAGUUUUUCGGUGUGGGAUGAGCUCGCGGCCUAUCAGCCUGUUGGUGGGGUAAUGGCCUACCAAGGCGUCGAGGGGUAGCCGGCCUGAGAGGGUGUACGGCCACAUUGGGACUGGGGUACGGCCCAGACUCCUACGGGAGGCAGAAGUGGGGAAUAUUGCACAAUGGGGGCAAGCCUGAUGCAGCGAAGCCGCGUGGGGGAUGACGGCCUUCGGGUUGUAAACUCCUUUCGCUAGGGACGAAGCGUUUUUGUGACGGUACCUGGAGAAGAAGCACCGGCUAACUACGUG
Molecule: ribosomal RNA, 467 nt
Filed under: uncultured bacterium
Lineage: Bacteria
Description: partial 16S ribosomal RNA
Rfam family: Bacterial small subunit ribosomal RNA
Source: RNAcentral